Molecule: ribosomal RNA, 250 nt
Filed under: uncultured bacterium
Lineage: Bacteria
Description: partial 16S ribosomal RNA
Rfam family: Bacterial small subunit ribosomal RNA
Source: RNAcentral
GGUGCGUAACGCGUAUGCAACCUACCUUUUACAGGGGCAUAACACUGAGAAAUUGGUACUAAUUCCCCAUAAUAUCUGAGACGGCAAUCGUUUUGGGUUGAAAACUCCGGUGGUAAAAGAUGGGCAUGCGUUGUAUUAGCUAGUUGGUGAGGUAACGGCUCACCAAGGCGACGAUACAUAGGGGGACUGACGAGGUUAACCCCCCACAUUGGUACUGAGACACGGACCAAACUCCUACGGAAGGCAGCAG